Molecule: transfer RNA, 78 nt
Filed under: Pyramidobacter piscolens W5455
Lineage: Bacteria; Thermotogati; Synergistota; Synergistia; Synergistales; Dethiosulfovibrionaceae
Description: tRNA-Asn
Rfam family: tRNA
About the family: Transfer RNA (tRNA) molecules are approximately 80 nucleotides in length. Their secondary structure includes four short double-helical elements and three loops (D, anti-codon, and T loops). Further hydrogen bonds mediate the characteristic L-shaped molecular structure. tRNAs have two regions of fundamental functional importance: the anti-codon, which is responsible for specific mRNA codon recognition, and the 3' end, to which the tRNAs corresponding amino acid is attached (by aminoacyl-tRNA synthetases). tRNAs cope with the degeneracy of the genetic code in two manners: having more than one tRNA (with a specific anti-codon) for a particular amino acid; and 'wobble' base-pairing, i.e. permitting non-standard base-pairing at the 3rd anti-codon position.
Source: RNAcentral
UUCCUCGAUAGCUCAGUCGGCAGAGCGGGUGACUGUUAAUCACUAGGUCGCAGGUUCAAGUCCUGCUCGAGGAGCCAG